This 301-nucleotide ribosomal RNA is filed under the name uncultured bacterium. RNAcentral's name for it is "partial 16S ribosomal RNA". It matches the Rfam family "Bacterial small subunit ribosomal RNA", at positions 509 to 807 of the family's 1533-position model. The record is from RNAcentral.
CAGUCGCCACGGUAAUACGAAGGGGGCUAGCGUUGUUCGGAAUCACUGGGCGUAAAGCGCACGUAGGCGGACACUUAAGUCAGAGGUGAAAUCCCAAGGCUCAACCUUGGAACUGCCUUUGAUACUGGGUGUCUUGAGUUCGGGAGAGGUGAGUGGAACUGCGAGUGUAGAGGUGAAAUUCGUAGAUAUUCGCAAGAACACCAGUGGCGAAGGCGGCUCACUGGCCCGAUACUGACGCUGAGGUGCGAAAGCGUGGGGAGCAAACAGGAUUACAUACCCGCGUAGUCCCUGUCUCUUAUAC